This 683-nucleotide ribosomal RNA is filed under the name bacterium TN67C. Its description in RNAcentral is "bacterial SSU rRNA". It matches the Rfam family "Bacterial small subunit ribosomal RNA", at positions 11 to 704 of the family's 1533-position model. The record is from RNAcentral.
GUUUGAUCAUGGCUGAGGAUGAACGCUGGCGGCGUGCUUAACACAUGCAAGUCGAACGAUGAUCUCCAGCUUGCUGGGGGGAUUAGUGGCGAACGGGUGAGUAACACGUGAGUAACCUGCCCUUGACUCUGGGAUAAGCCUGGGAAACUGGGUCUAAUACCGGAUAUGACCAUCUGGCGCAUGUCAUGGUGGUGGAAAGCUUUUUUGUGGUUUUGGAUGGACUCGCGGCCUAUCAGCUUGUUGGUGGGGUAAUGGCCUACCAAGGCGACGACGGGUAGCCGGCCUGAGAGGGUGACCGGCCACACUGGGACUGAGACACGGCCCAGACUCCUACGGGAGGCAGCAGUGGGGAAUAUUGCACAAUGGGCGCAAGCCUGAUGCAGCGACGCCGCGUGAGGGAUGACGGCCUUCGGGUUGUAAACCUCUUUCAGUAGGGAAGAAGCGUAAGUGACGGUACCUGCAGAAGAAGCGCCGGCUAACUACGUGCCAGCAGCCGCGGUAAUACGUAGGGCGCAAGCGUUAUCCGGAAUUAUUGGGCGUAAAGAGCUCGUAGGCGGUUUGUCGCGUCUGCUGUGAAAGACCGGGGCUCAACUCCGGUUCUGCAGUGGGUACGGGCAGACUAGAGUGCAGUAGGGGAGACUGGAAUUCCUGGUGUAGCGGUGAAAUGCGCAGAUAUCAGGAGG